This 73-nucleotide transfer RNA is filed under the name Nitzschia inconspicua. It matches the Rfam family "tRNA". Rfam says of the family: Transfer RNA (tRNA) molecules are approximately 80 nucleotides in length. Their secondary structure includes four short double-helical elements and three loops (D, anti-codon, and T loops). Further hydrogen bonds mediate the characteristic L-shaped molecular structure. tRNAs have two regions of fundamental functional importance: the anti-codon, which is responsible for specific mRNA codon recognition, and the 3' end, to which the tRNAs corresponding amino acid is attached (by aminoacyl-tRNA synthetases). tRNAs cope with the degeneracy of the genetic code in two manners: having more than one tRNA (with a specific anti-codon) for a particular amino acid; and 'wobble' base-pairing, i.e. permitting non-standard base-pairing at the 3rd anti-codon position. The record is from Rfam by way of RNAcentral. Lineage: Eukaryota; Bacillariophyta; Bacillariophyceae; Bacillariales; Bacillariaceae.
GGGGGAAUAGCUCAGUUGGUAGAGCGCGUGCUUAGCAUGCACGAGGUCCCGGAUUCGAUUUCCGGUUUCUCCA